UACAGAGGUCCCAAGCGUUGUUCGGAAUUACUGGGCGUAAAGCGCACGUAGGCGGAUAUUUAAGUCAGGGGUGAAAUCCCAGAGCUCAACUCUGGAACUGCCUUUGAUACUGGGUAUCUUGAGUAUGGAAGAGGUAAGUGGAAUUGCGAGUGUAGAGGUGAAAUUCGUAGAUAUUCGCAGGAACACCAGUGGCGAAGGCGGCUUACUGGUCCAUAACUGACGCUGAGGUGCGAAAGCGUGGGGAGCAAACAGG
RNAcentral lists this ribosomal RNA (253 nucleotides) under uncultured bacterium. RNAcentral's name for it is "partial 16S ribosomal RNA". It matches the Rfam family "Bacterial small subunit ribosomal RNA", at positions 524 to 776 of the family's 1533-position model. The record is from RNAcentral.